RNAcentral lists this non-coding RNA (250 nucleotides) under Desulforamulus hydrothermalis. RNAcentral describes it as "Desulfotomaculum hydrothermale T-box sequence". It matches the Rfam family "T-box leader". From Rfam's summary of the family: Uncharged tRNA acts as the effector for transcription antitermination of genes in the T-box leader family. T-boxes are found upstream of many aminoacyl-tRNA synthetase genes and some amino acid biosynthetic genes usually in Gram-positive bacteria. The record is from RNAcentral. RNAcentral also lists the same sequence under 1 other name. Lineage: Bacteria; Bacillati; Bacillota; Clostridia; Eubacteriales; Peptococcaceae.
AGAAACCCAGCGAAGGGGAAAAGUAAUUUAAGCCUGUUCUUUCAGAGAGCCGGUGGGUGGUGCGAACCGGCAGAGGGUUUAAGUGAAUUCCUCCCCGGAGGGGAUCCGCCGAAAAACAGCGAGACAGAUAAAAGAGCUGCCAGUAGGUGGAUACGGGAAGACACCCGUUAUAACAAAUGAGUGGGUCAGAAGUUUUUAGUUUCUGACCAACAAGGGUGGCAACGCGGGAGCAUAACCUCUCGUCCCUAAU